This is a non-coding RNA of Danio rerio (zebrafish), 54 nucleotides long. NCBI's taxonomy places the organism in Eukaryota, Metazoa, Chordata, Actinopteri, Cypriniformes, Danionidae. The record is from Rfam.
UGUGUUUAUGGGUGUAAGUCGCUUUGGAUAAAAGCAUCUGCUAAAUGCAUUUUA